Molecule: long non-coding RNA, 2055 nt
Organism: Ruditapes philippinarum (Manila clam)
Lineage: Eukaryota; Metazoa; Mollusca; Bivalvia; Venerida; Veneridae
Exons: 4
Source: RefSeq, a predicted model, not a curated record
UGUAUAUGUAUGUGUGCACGAAGGUGCUUGUAUGUGAGUGUGUAUGUAUGUGUGCACGAAGGUGGUUGUAUGUGAGUGUGUAUGUAUGUGUGCAUGAAGGUGGUUGUAUGUGAGUGUGUAUGUAUGUGUGCACGAAGGUGGUUGUAUAUGUAUGUGUGCACAAAGGUGGUUGUAUGUGAGUGUGUAUGUAUGUGUACAUGAAGGUGGUUGUAUAUGUAUGUGUGCACAAAGGUGGUUGUAUGUGAGUGUGUAUGUAUGUGUACAUGAAGGUGGUUGUAUGUGAGUGUGUAUGUAUGUGUGCACGAAGGUGGUUGUAUAUGUAUGUGUGCACAAAGGUGGUUGUAUGUGAGUGUGUAUGUAUGUGUACAUGAAGGUGGUUGUAUAUGUAUGUGUGCACAAAGGUGGUUGUAUGCAAAUGUAUUACUUAUAUCACAGAUGGUCGUAGUAAUUUUAUUAUUAAAAAGUUUUAAAAACAUUGAAAUUAUGAUUGUACAUGUAUGUUGUAUGCAAUAUCUUUAAUUCUAGAGUAUGAUUUAUUUGGUAUUAUUUUUACAGUAAAUCUUUUCAUUUUACAUUGUUAUUUUCUGAUAUUUUUUUUCAUUCAUGAUAUGGUAAACAUUUAUAUGCUUGGCACAGAGGGAGGUUUAUUUUGAAGAAAUGUAUUUACAUAUAAAGGAAUUUUGUUUCGAAGCAUAUUUAAUGAUUUGAUGUUAUUUUAUAUUUGUAUUAUUGAUGUGUAACAUCGUUAUGUACUUUCAUUCCAUUAGAGCCGGUCUCUUUAAACUUUUUAUUUAUUCCCUUAUUUGUUUAUAUGUGAUUAUUAUCUCUUUUAUUCAAUGAGUUUGAUUAUGAAUUUCCAAGAAAAUGUGCACUAUUUAAAACUAAGAGGCAUUAUUAUCUUUAAAAAGGAGAUGAUGCAUCUUUGAGUAUAGCUUGCAAUUAAUUUUUUUUCACUGUCAAACACUUCUGUCUUGAAUGCAAUAAUCUUGCACAGUUUUGUGAUAGAUUUUAUCAAGUUUAUUCAGUUGCAUAUAUUUUUGCCUCAGACUUAUGCCAUCCUUUAGCUGGGUCAAUGUCAUAGAGAGACAUUUAUCAGACUGACAAUUUUGCUUCCACUCUAUAAAUCUUAUAAAGGAUCUUCUUUUGAAGUGGGCUGGAAUGUUCACUUCAGCAAAGCAGAAUCCAUGCAGCUGCAUAUCAAGGUCAAGGUUGCACUUGAAGCCCAAAUGUCCAAAACUUGGUAUCUUCUUACAUAUUUUGUAACAUGGCAUGAUUUCCUUCUAUCUUAACUCAAGUGGUCACAUCAGCAAGGUGAUAUAUAGAACCUGUGCUGCCACACUGUUGCUUCAAAGGUCAAGGUUACCAUUUAAUGUCAAAAAUGAGACUAUUUGUUUUGGCUAUAUAAAUCCUAUACCCCAUAGAGAAACUAAGCUCAAAUGUUCACCUCAACUGGGAGAUGUCCAGAGCUUAUGUCCCUACUGUGACUGUGCUGUCUCAUGUUCAAGGUCACCUUGAAGGUCAAAUGUCAAGACAAUGUCAUGUCUGCUCUGUUAAUCCUUUACCCUUUGAAGACUUUUCUUCAAUUUGGUUAAAUGCUUACAUCAACAUGGUUAGAUGCAUAACUCAUGCAGCAGCUGUGCUACUUCAAGGUCACACUUGAAGGUCAGAUAUCAGACAUUUUUAUACUCCUUGAAUCAUGCCCAACUGUCCAUCUUAAAAAAAAUACUGAGUAACUGACCUACAUAAACUCCUAUGUCAUAUGGAUGGUAGGGCAUUUGUCACAUUCCUGACUUCAAUAUCAACAUUAUCAUUCACAUGUUUAUUAUUUAAAAGACUUUAUUUUAUUUGAUGUAUUUCAUAUAAAUAUUCUUUCCCUUCAUUGUGGAAAGUUAUGAUUUGUGUUCUUUGUAUGAAAGUGGGAAAUAUAUUUGUACUUUAAUUGUCAUUUUUAAGUGUUCAGAGAAUAAAAUGAGAUAUAUGAUAAUUCUUGUGUUAAUUAUUAUUUGUUUAAAGCAAUAUUCCUGCCAUUUGAGCUAGUCUCAGCUCUGGCACAAA